GUCGGCUUACCUCAACAGGUAGAGUGCCCGCAUUGUAGGUGGGCGGUUGUUGGUCCAACUCCGGCAGCCGGCUCCA
This 76-nucleotide transfer RNA is filed under the name Bradyrhizobium sp. Leo170. Its description in RNAcentral is "tRNA-Thr". RNAcentral also lists the same sequence under 1 other name. Lineage: Bacteria; Pseudomonadati; Pseudomonadota; Alphaproteobacteria; Hyphomicrobiales; Nitrobacteraceae. The record is from RNAcentral.